CAUACUUCCCAGCUGUUGGCUAAGAUCAAGAGAAUCAUCAUUUCUUAUCACUUUAAUAUCUGACACAUCCUCAGCUUGAAGUUUUUAUAUUAAAUGGAUUUGGAGGGCAUGGGAAGGAGUAACUGCUUCCUCCAUCCACUCCAUGCAUUAGCCCGAAACUGCAGUGCUUCCAGGUACCACGGCUGCAUCA
Molecule: non-coding RNA, 190 nt
Organism: Pelecanus crispus (Dalmatian pelican)
Lineage: Eukaryota; Metazoa; Chordata; Aves; Pelecaniformes; Pelecanidae
Source: Rfam